AUGCCUACAAGCCUAGUUGGUGUAUUUAAAUUCUUCAAAUAUAUUAGGUGUGGGGGUGUUACCGCCGGCUGUCCACUUGGGCAAAACCCUACCAGAGGCCAGAGGCUGUUGAACGCUGCUGCACAGCUCAUCCACCUCCUCACAUCCGUCCAAGUCAACAUCUAUGUAGCGGACGUCUUGGAUCACGCUUGCAGCAUCAGGUACAUGGAGCAGGAGUAUAGCAUGAACCACCGUCCCAGGGUGCAUUCAUAUCAUAAAACUGAGAUUGGGAUCUAUUAUUGUCCACAAAAGUGCUUGGGGUCAUAG
RNAcentral lists this ribosomal RNA (306 nucleotides) under Triticum aestivum (bread wheat). RNAcentral's name for it is "partial small subunit ribosomal RNA". The record is from RNAcentral. Lineage: Eukaryota; Viridiplantae; Streptophyta; Magnoliopsida; Poales; Poaceae.